CGCGGCGUGUGCUAAUACAUGCAGUCGAGCGCACUGGCCCAACAGAAAUGACGUGCUUGCACUGAUUUGACGUUGGAUUCCCAGUGAGCGGCGGACGGGUGAGUAACACGUGGGCAACCUGCCCCAAAGCGGGGGAUAACAUUUGGAAACAGGUGCUAAUACCGCAUAACUUGGAAAACCACAUGGUUUUCCAAUAAAAGAUGGUUUCGGCUAUCACUUUGGGAUGGGCCCGCGGUGCAUUAGCUAGUUGGUAAGGUAACGGCUUACCAAGGCGAUGAUGCAUAGCCGAGUUGAGAGACUGAUCGGCCACAAUGGAACUGAGACACGGUCCAUACUCCUACGGGAGGCAGCAGUAGGGAAUCUUCCACAAUGGGCGCAAGCCUGAUGGAGCAACACCGCGUGAGUGAAGAAGGGUUUCGGCUCGUAAAACUCUGUUGUUGGAGAAGAACGUGCGUAAGAGUAACUGUUUACGCAGUGACGGUAUCCAACCAGAAAGUCACGGCUAACUACGUGCCAGCAGCCGCGGUAAUACGUAGGUGGCAAGCGUUAUCCGGAUUUAUUGGGCGUAAAGCGAGCGCAGGCGGUUGCUUAGGUCUGAUGUGAAAGCCUUCGGCUUAACCGAAGAAGUGCAUCGGAAACCGGGCGACUUGAGUGCAGAAGAGGACAGUGGAACUCCAUGUGUAGCGGUGGAAUGCGUAGAUAUAUGGAAGAACACCAGUGGCGAAGGCGGCUGUCUGGUCUGCAACUGACGCUGAGGCUCGAAAGCAUGGGUAGCGAACAGGAUUAGAUACCCUGGUAGUCCAUGCCGUAAACGAUGAGUGCUAGGUGUUGGAGGGUUUCCGCCCUUCAGUGCCGAAGCUAACGCAUUAAGCACUCCGCCUGGGGAGUACGACCGCAAGGUUGAAACUCAAAGGAAUUGACGGGGGCCCGCACAAG
This 936-nucleotide ribosomal RNA is filed under the name Limosilactobacillus oris. Its description in RNAcentral is "bacterial SSU rRNA". It matches the Rfam family "Bacterial small subunit ribosomal RNA", at positions 38 to 929 of the family's 1533-position model. Lineage: Bacteria; Bacillati; Bacillota; Bacilli; Lactobacillales; Lactobacillaceae. The record is from RNAcentral.